AGUUAUCGUUUAUUUGAUAGUAACCUACUACAUGGAAUACCUGUGGAAAAUCUAGAGCUAAUACAUGCUAAAGCCCCAACUUCGGGAGGGGUGUGUUUAUUAGAUAAAAAGCCAACGCCCUUCGGGGCUUCUUGGUGAUUCAUGAUAACCUUUCUGAUCGCACGGCCCCGCGCCCGCGACGGUUCAUUCAAAUUUCUGCCCUAUCAACUUUCGAUGGUAGAGUAGUGGUCUACCAUGGUGUCAACGGGUAACGGGGAAUUAGGGUUCGAUUCCGGAGAGGGAGCCUGAGAAACGGCUACCACAUCCAAGGAAGGCAACAGGCGCGCAAAUUACACAAUGUCGACUCGACGAUGUAGUGACAAUAAAUACUGAUACAGGGCUCUUUUGGGUCUUGUAAUUGGAAUGAGUACAAUUUAAAUCUCUUAACGAGGAACAAUUAGAGGGCAAGUCUGGUGCCAGCAGCCGCGGUAAUUCCAGCUCUAAUAGCGUAUAUUAAAGUUGUUGCAGUUAAAAAGCUCGUAGUUGAACCUUUGGCUUGGCGGGGGCGUCCGCCUCACCGCGUGUUACGUGACCUGCCGAGCCUUUUUUUCUGGAGAACCGCAUGCCCUUCACUGGGUGUGUUGGGGACCAGGACUUUUACUUUGAAAAAAUUAGAGUGUUCAAAGCAGGCCUUUGCUCGAAUACGUUAGCAUGGAAUAAUGGAAUAGGACGUGCGGUCCUAUUUUGUUGGUUUCUAGGACCGCCGUAAUGAUUAAUAGGGACAGUCGGGGGCAUCAGUAUUCAAUUGUCAGAGGUGAAAUUCUUGGAUUUAUUGAAGACUAACUACUGCGAAAGCAUUUGCCAAGGAUGUUUUCAUUAAUCAGUGAACGAAAGUUAGGGGAUCGAAGACGAUCAGAUACCGUCGUAGUCUUAACCAUAAACUAUGCCAGCUGGGGAUCGGACGGUGUUUCUAUUGUGACCCGUUCGGCACCCUACGAGAAAUCAA
RNAcentral lists this ribosomal RNA (985 nucleotides) under Didymosphaeriaceae sp. Its description in RNAcentral is "SSU rRNA". It matches the Rfam family "Eukaryotic small subunit ribosomal RNA", at positions 108 to 1101 of the family's 1831-position model. The record is from RNAcentral. Lineage: Eukaryota; Fungi; Ascomycota; Dothideomycetes; Pleosporales; Didymosphaeriaceae.